This is a long non-coding RNA of Bos taurus (domestic cattle), 2194 nucleotides long. NCBI's taxonomy places the organism in Eukaryota, Metazoa, Chordata, Mammalia, Artiodactyla, Bovidae. The record is from Ensembl.
AGAGAAGGUGUAGGAGGUUCAGGCAGUGGGAAAGGGGCCCAGUGUCCAGAGCCAGGAAAGUGGGAUUUCACCUGGCUGGGUAGAUAGCAAGGUGAGGGAGGAAGUGGCGAUGGGGCCCUGGACCCUGGAGAGGCCAAGUCACGGGGAGUCUUGUGUGCAGAAUUACAGACCCUGGAUUGUACUGGAUUGUUACCGGAAUCAUGGAAGGGAGUCUAAACAGGUUAGAGUGUGCAGCAUGCAAACCACAAGUUGGGAAGGGUCCCACGUGAGGAGGUCCCAGGAAAUCUUGAGACCACUAGAGAAGAGAAAGCCAUCUGGUGUGACUGGACUGGGAGUCAGAAAUAGAAAAGUUCAUCCUGAAAUUCAUAUGGACUCUCAAGGGAACUGAAUAGCCAAAAAGAAGAACAAAGUUGAAGGGUCUGCACUUCUGGAUUUGAAAAUAUUACAAAGUUAGAGUAAUCAGAUCAGUGUGGUAGCAGCAUAAAGACAGACAUAGAGACAAAUGAAAUAGAAGAGAGAACUCAGAAAUAAACUCUCUCACAUACGCACAAAAAUCUCAAAUGAGUUUCAAUAAGGAUGCCAAGAACACUCAACAAGGAAAGAACAAUUUUUUCACCUGGAUCACCACAAGCGAAAGAAUGAAGUUGGACCCUUGCCUAACGCCAUAUACAAAAACUAACUCACGCUAGAUCAAAGACGUAAACACAAAAGGUAAAACAAUAAAACUUUUUGAGGAAUGUGGGGCAAAACUUUGCAUCAUUGGAUUUGGUGACAGUUUCUUGAAUGUGACGUCAAAGGCACAGGCAGCAAAAGAAAAGAAUAGUCAAAUUUGACUUGAUGAAAAUUUAAAUUUCAUGCAUCAAAACGCACUGUGGACAGAAUGAAAAAGCAAUCCACAGGAUGGAUUUGCAAUAUAUUUGCAAAUCAUAUAUCUGAUAUAUGAUUAAUAUCCAGAUUAUAUAGAGAAUUCCUAAAACUUGAAGAAAAAAAAAAAGCCAACAAAAUAACAACUGUUGGCAAGCAUAUGGAGAAACUGGAACUUCUAUGACCUGUUGGUGGGAAUGGAAAAUGGCACAGCUACUGGGGAAAACAGUGUGGGAGUAAGAAAUUUUAAAUCGAGCUACCAUAAGACCCAAUAAUGCCACUUCUGGGUAUAUACCCCAAAGAGUUGAAAGCAGGGUUUUGAACAGAUAUUUGCACACCUAUGUUCACUGUACUAUUCACAAUAGUCAAGAGAUGGAAUGCAAUUGUCCACCUAUGAAUGAAUGGACAAGCAAAAUGUGGUAUAAACGUAAAAUGAAAUAUUAUUCAGCCUUAACAAAGAGGAAAAUUUUGACACAUGCUAUCAUAUGGAUGAGCCUUGAGGACAUGUGCUACAUUGAAAUAAUCCAGCCAUGAAAAGACAAAUACUGUAUGAUUCCACUUAUAUGAAAUACAUAGAAUAGUCAAAUUCAAUGAUAAAUUUGAAAGUAGAAUGAUAGCUCCCAAGGGCAGGAAGAGGAGGAAAAGGGGUGUUGUCCUUUAAUGAUUAUAGUUUCAGAUUUUCAGGUGAAAAGGUUCUGAAUAUAUGUUUCACACUAAUAUAGAUUUAUUUAAAAUGACUGAGCUAUACCCCAUGAUUAAGGUGGUAUAUUGAUGCUUUUGAACUGUGGUGUUGGAGAAGACCCCUGAGAGUCCCUUGGACUGCAAGGAGAUCAAACCAGUUAACCCUAAAGGAAGUCAGUCCUGAAUGUUUAUUGGAAGGACUGAUGCUGAAGCUGAAACUCCAAUACUUUGGCCACCUGAUGCAAAGAACUGACCUGAUGCUGGGAAAGCUUGAGGGCAGAAGGAGAAGGGGCAAUAGUGGAUGAGAUGGUUGGAUGGCAUCACAGACUCGAUGGACAUGAGUUUGAGCAAACUCCGGGAGUUGAUGAUGGACAAGGGAAGCCUGGCAUGCUGCAGUCCACGUGGUCGCAAAGAGUCAGAUAAGAUGAGCAACUGAAAUGAACUGAAUUGAAGGUGGUAUAUUUUACAUUGUGUGGUAUUUUUCCCACAAUAAAAAAUUAUGUAGCAGAGAAAAAUCAACAAAUGUCAAUGAUAAGCAAGAAACAGGGAGAAACGUUUACAUCAUAUGUAACAGAAAAAAAAUGCUUAAAAUAUCUAAUAUGAAGAGUUCCUCCCAAAGUCAGUGCUCUGUGACAGCCUAGAAGGGUGG